AUGCGACAACUCCAUCACGCGUAUAAUCUCCCAUGGCUACUAAUAGGUGAUCUGAAUGAAAUACAAUUCUUGCAUGACAAGGAAGGAGGGAAUCCUAGACCUCCCCAAUAUAUGCUUGCAUUCUAGGAUGCCAUUGAUGAUUGUGAAUUACAUGCCCUAGGCUUCAUUGGUGAUCGGUUCACUUGGUACAGAGGAAGGAUAAAAGAAAGACUAGACCGUGGGCUAGUGAAUGAUGCUUGGAUUAAUUUGUUCCCCCAAGCUACACCGGAAAAUUUUGAGUUCGAUCAUUCAGAUCAUCGCCCUUUGUUAGUGGAUUCAUAA
RNAcentral lists this ribosomal RNA (321 nucleotides) under Triticum aestivum (bread wheat). RNAcentral describes it as "partial small subunit ribosomal RNA". Lineage: Eukaryota; Viridiplantae; Streptophyta; Magnoliopsida; Poales; Poaceae. The record is from RNAcentral.